GGAGAGGUCGCAUAGUGGUCUAGUGCACCGUCUUGGAAAGGCGGCGUACCGCAAGGUACCGCGAGUUCGAAUCUCGCCCUCUCCGCCA
Molecule: transfer RNA, 88 nt
Filed under: bacterium
Lineage: Bacteria
Description: tRNA-Ser
Rfam family: tRNA
About the family: Transfer RNA (tRNA) molecules are approximately 80 nucleotides in length. Their secondary structure includes four short double-helical elements and three loops (D, anti-codon, and T loops).
Source: RNAcentral